This 490-nucleotide ribosomal RNA is filed under the name uncultured bacterium. Its description in RNAcentral is "partial 16S ribosomal RNA". It matches the Rfam family "Bacterial small subunit ribosomal RNA", at positions 29 to 506 of the family's 1533-position model. The record is from RNAcentral.
GUGAACGCUGGCGGUAGGCCUAACACAUGCAAGUCGAACGGCAGCACAGUAAGAGCUUGCUCUUACGGGUGGCGAGUGGCGGACGGGUGAGGAAUACAUCGGAAUCUACUUUUUCGUGGGGGAUAACGUAGGGAAACUUACGCUAAUACCGCAUACGACCUACGGGUGAAAGUAGGGGAUCUUCGGACCUUGCGCGAUUGAAUGAGCCGAUGUCGGAUUAGCUAGUUGGCGGGGUAAAGGCCCACCAAGGCGACGAUCCGUAGCUGGUCUGAGAGGAUGAUCAGCCACACUGGAACUGAGACACGGUCCAGACUCCUACGGGAGGCAGCAGUGGGGAAUAUUGGACAAUGGGCGCAAGCCUGAUCCAGCCAUACCGCGUGGGUGAAGAAGGCCUUCGGGUUGUAAAGCCCUUUUGUUGGGAAAGAAAAGCAGCAGGUUAAUACCCCGCUGUUCUGACGGGACCCAAAGAAUAAGCACCGGCUAACUUCGU